Bubalus bubalis (water buffalo) is the source of this 6346-nucleotide RNA transcript. It is a transcript of the gene named potassium inwardly rectifying channel subfamily J member 15, with no coding region annotated. Lineage: Eukaryota; Metazoa; Chordata; Mammalia; Artiodactyla; Bovidae. The record is from RefSeq and is a predicted model, not a curated record. The transcript is spliced from 4 exons.
CAUUUAAAAACUUCGCCUGGCAUGAUACACGCGAUGAAACUGCUCACAUGUUCUGGGCCCUGUCUUUGACAUUUAUUCAUCCUUUAAUUUAUGGAUAGACUAUUAAUCCACUUAUUUAUUCAUUGACUCAUUUAUAGAGUCAUGAGUAUGAGUUAUCAUUUUCUAUUUUUUUGGUUUGAGCAUCUGCUGCUAUAUGCCAGGGGCUGUGUUACUGAGGGUAAAACGAUGACUGUGGUCCAAUCCAUGCCUGCGUGUAGAAGGGGAGAAGAAACACGGAGAGGAAACCACGAUACUGUGGAAGUAGCAGAGUCCCAUGGUAGCCAGGUGGGCGAAGGGGAGUGAGGACCAUCCACCUGCCUUGGAGAAGACGCCAUCUGACCCGCCGGCCGAGUGAGCCCCCAGGUGGCCCUGUGAGCCGGACCAUGGACCCGAUUCACAUCAGCAUGGCCAGCGCGCCCAUGGUGAAGCAUACUGCUGGUGCUGGCCUCAAGGCCAGCAGACCCCGAGUCAUGUCCAAGAGCGGGCACAGCAACGUGAGAAUUGACAAAGUGGAUGGCAUAUAUUUGCUCUACCUCCAAGACUUGUGGACCACCGUCAUCGACAUGAAGUGGAGAUACAAGCUCACCCUGUUUGCUGCCACGUUCGUGAUGACCUGGUUCCUGUUCGGGGUGAUCUACUAUGCCAUCGCCUUUAUCCAUGGGGACCUGGAGCCCAGUGAGCCCCCUUCCAAUCACACCCCAUGCAUCAUGAGAGUGGACUCCCUCACUGGGGCGUUCCUGUUUUCCCUGGAAUCCCAGACGACCAUCGGCUACGGAGUCCGUUCCAUCACCGAGGAAUGCCCUCAUGCCAUCUUCCUCUUGGUGGCCCAGCUGGUCAUCACCACCUUGAUUGAGAUCUUCAUCACGGGCACCUUCCUGGCCAAAAUCGCCAGACCCAAAAAGCGGGCGGAGACCAUCAAGUUCAGCCACUGCGCCGUUAUCACCAAGCAGAAUGGGAAGCUGUGCUUGGUGAUCCAGGUGGCCAACAUGAGGAAGAGCCUCCUGAUCCAGUGCCAGCUCUCGGGGAAGCUCCUCCAGACCCAUGUCACCAAGGAGGGCGAGCAGAUCCUCCUGAACCAGGCCACUGUCAAGUUCCACGUGGACUCCUCUUCUGAGAGCCCCUUCCUCAUCCUGCCCAUGACGUUCUACCAUGUGCUGGAUGAGACAAGCCCCCUGCGGGAUCUCACCCCCCAGAACCUGAAGGAGAAGGAGUUUGAGCUGGUGGUCCUCCUCAACGCCACCGUGGAGUCCACCAGCGCCGUGUGCCAGAGCCGCACAUCUUACAUCCCGGAGGAGAUCUACUGGGGCUUUGAGUUUGUGCCUGUCGUCUCUCUCUCAAAAACUGGCAAGUACGUGGCUGACUUCAGUCAGUUUGAACAGAUCCGGAAGAGCCCGGAUUGUACCUUUUACUGCGCAGAUUCUGAGAAGCAGAAACUUGAAGAGAAAUACAGGCAGGAGGAUCAGAGGGAAAGAGAGCUGAGAACGCUUUUGCUGCAGCAGAGCAAUGUCUGACGGGCAUGGUGUUGCCUCGGCUUAUUUCCGAGCGGCUUUUGCAUCUGAGCUCCCUUCUAACACAGAGAUCACCAGGAACUGAAAAUGUGUGGAUGCACCCUGAAACACUGCACAGGCUUACAGACCUGUUCCUCUGAUCUGAUGGCUUUAAACAACCUUUGCCACAUCUGAAAGGGUUCCUUUCUUCAAUGCUCUGUCUGAAGCGAACUCCCUAAAUUCAAAUUUUCCAAAAGGGGGCUGCAUUUCAAAAAAGCUGGUGGAGGGCUAUGGGAACAAUGUCCUGCCGAGUGGACAGACAUUUCAGGAUGCUGAUACUGAAAGGACGUCAGCUAUAAUAUAAGGUAUUUAUUCAGUCCAAGUAUGAAAGACAUCACGACCAAGAGCUGAAAUGUGGUUCGGUAUCCACUUACAUCGUUGCUUUAAAACACACUCGUUUUUUUCAAGCAGAGAAAACAGUAUUUAUAAUGGAGGCUAUCUGGUCAAACAUAAACUGGGGCAAAGGGACUCUAUUCACAAAGUAUAAUUCUGUUUUUACCUUUUUCAGUGACCGUUGUUGUAUAGAGUGAAAUUGAUCAAAUUAGAAAUGAACUGUUGUAAAAACAUGCAAAUGGAGCUGAUGUGAUUGUUCACAUUAAAUUUUUUGUUGAAAUGUACUAGCCCCUUUUUAUUUAAAAUGAAGUUCACAAGCAGCACCCAUCAGCAUCAACCAGGAGCUUUAUUAGUACAUUAGCCCCCCAUGGGCUUAGAGAGUCAUAGUCUGUAUCUUAACAGGAUCGCCAAGUGAUUCAUGCAAAAAUGAAAUUUUGAAAAGCUUCACUCCCGGCAGAGUUUCUGAAGUAACUUUCUGAAGCCAGGGGACUCUGCUCAUCCCUUAUCCCGUUCUUUAUUAUGGCCCAAUAUUCCUUUCAAGGGUUUCCUUCCUUUCUGUUAAAAUACCUUAUCCACAGAGGAACUGGCAUGGACAUUUCAAGAGCAAAAUAACACUCUUGAUAGUAAUGGUUGUCUCUCUCAAGUCAAGUACAUGCUUGUUGAUUACAAUCAGCACAAAAGAAAAUUUCAGCUUCAUAACAAUCGAAAAUUUGCUCCUACAUUGAAAUCCAGGAGUUUGGCUGGGGCCAUGAAGAACAGGAGGAGCCAAGGCUAAGGAGUUCAAAUGCAGAUGACUCCUUGAAGCAUGAACAAAGCUUGAUACCUGAUAGCAUGUAAAGGGUGCCCUCAGUAUUGAAAUAAGUCUCAUACAACUCAGUGUUACAGAGUAACGUUUGGAUUUUGGCAAGAUUUAGAGCAUUUCUUUGGGGGCGGAGAAUCAAUGCGCUAGGAUUGGCUAAAUGUGCGAAAGGUGAACUCUCAUUUCAUUCAGACAAGGACAGAUUUGAACAUUCAUUCAAGAAGAGUGGAUGUGUGCGUGACCCCAUGUGUAUGCAUACACUGACCUGCACACACAUAGACCUAAACACACAAACACACACACACACAAGGCAUGCUCCUCCUGGCUCUUCCGUCAUGGUUGUGGAAACUAUCCGCAAAGACAUUUGUGAUUAAGAUAGCAAGUCUUUGACAAAUGUGCUCAUGUUUAUUUGGUUCUUUAAGAGUGGGAGUGCUGGGACUCGGAGCAAACAGGACCUGUAAUCUGGAUUCAGGUUUUCUGUGAAACGGUGUCAUAUCAUAUGUUACCAUAAUCUCAAGUCUCCCUCCAUUAAACAGAAAAUGUGCCUGAAACCUCUGACCCGGAAGUGAACAUUUAACACAGGACUCCAUCUGGAGAAAGAAGAAAAGAAAAAAGCAAAGUCAGGAAGACCUGAAGCCUUUGCCCUGGUACCUCAGUAAAGGAGCAGCCUCAUCUUCAGGCAUGGUUCUAUACCUGGUCUCUGGUCAAAGCGUUAGACAUCCGAUGGUGUGACAAUGGCAAAGCCUUCCAGCCUCUUGCUCUUGGCUUUCAUGCAUGCUACAUAUAUUUUUUCUGUUAAAUAUUUGAAAUAGCUGGUUUUGAAUGCGGGCUAUUUUAUCAUAGCCUUCUGGAAGGGAUUUUCUUUUCAAGUGAAAGGUGGCAGCAUUUCAAGUCUUAAUUUCCAAGUUCUGCACUGUGCAUGUGUCAGCAUUUGACUCUGUGUAAGUCCAAGGUGCACUUAAUUUUCUUCCCUUAGAAAGACUUACCCCUGAAGGUCUAAAGCUUAACAUUUCACUUCUAAUUGAUUAACUAUUAAUACAUACACUUUGCCUUUUGUGAAUUUCAGUUUAUCUUUAAUCAGAAUGUCCUGCCAACCCAUCCUUGGGUUUCUGGGCAGCAAAGAGUGGCUUCUGCUCUCAGAGUAAGGUGCCUUGUAAGAAGAGUUUGAGUCUCCAGAGUAAGAAUUUGCAAUGAAAAAGUAUGAUUAGAAUUUAAUUUUAGAAUUAGAUUAAAAAAAAUAAAGCAGUUACUUAACUUCUUGAGGCAUUUGUAUAUUCUUUGGUAGACUUUUUCUUAAUUGCUGUUCUGUUGUUUUGAUUUUUUGAAAGAAAUCUGAAACAAAGUCUUUGUCUUCAGAGUAAGGAAGGCAGUGAGAAAGGUGUAAAAAAAAAAAAAAAGCUAAUAGUUGACUUAGCUAGGCUUCCAUGUAAACAGACUUCUACCAGUGAAAAAGAACUUCAGAGAAAAUAUUGGUCAUUCAGUCUCACAUUACAACAAACCACCAUCAUAUCCUUUGGCUUCCCAGGAGUAGCAAUUUUCCUAACUCUGAAGAAACACUGAUGAAUUAAGUCCAACAUUUUUUUCCAAAAUUUUUCCACUAGACACAUAAUGAGAGAGAAACACGAGGCAAAAAUAAAGCUCCAGGCAUUUCACUUCAUCUUCAUCCUCUGUCAGCUCUCCCGAGUCAGUUUCCUCUCAACUGCCCAUGUGCUUGGUUGACUAAACCUCAUCCUUGCCAACCAUUCUAGCAAGCCAAAUCAACGCGUGGGUUAAAAAUAAUCAAUCCAAAUUAGUAGUAAUAAUUUGUGGACAUUUAGAUGCCUAAAAACUGGGGAUAGAAACUUUUAUCUUUCAAUGAGUACGUUGCUAGUAUGUUAAAAUAGAAGACAGAGAAAAAGCUGUUGAUUGGAGUGGAUAGUUAAUUCCUAAUAAAAUUACAAGAAUUGAUUAUGGAAGUCAAAAGGUGUAAUUGGCACAUGAGCAUAAAUGCCAAAGGUGUCAUGUAUGUGGAUAAAGGCCACAUGACUAGCAAAGGUAGCGCAGUGCAUGUGGGCUCAGUCGUGUCCAGCUCUUUGCGACCCCAAGGACUGUAGCCCACUGCCCUCCUCUGUCCAUGGGAUUCUUGUCUUGCUCCAGACAAGAAUACUGGAGUGGGUUGCAUUUCCUCCUUCAGGAGAUCUUCAUGACUCAGGGAUUGAACCCAUGUCUCCUGCAUUGGUAGGCAGAUUCUUUACCUCUGUGCCACCUAGAAAGCCCCCUAGUAAAGAUAAUUUCAGCCAAAUGCAGGGACUUUUGGUAAAUUCUGGGCAUGCUCUUUGUUUAUCACAGAAAGGCUGGGAACAAUGGGCGCAUCAUUUUGUAUUACUAACCACCACUAGAUGGGUAAAACCAAAGAUAAAGGCAUCUGCCUAAAAGCCCAUUACCACAUUUUUUGUUUAACAGCUCCAACCUUGUUAUGUACUUAGCUAUGAUCUUAUCUUUCCUCAAGGCUAAAUCUUAUCUAUUAUCCAUGCCUUCACAACAACCUAAGAUAUAUAAUUUCACCCCUCAAAAAUAUUCAUGUUAUACAUAGAACCUACUCAAAAUUAGACUCUAAGGGAGCUACUACAAUUGAUUAUGUAGUACACAUUCUCUUAGAAAAAAAAUCAGAAGCUGUUGAUUUCAAGCUAAGAUGUAUGGCCUUUUAGCUUAUUAUUCCUAUGAUUGUUAUAAUUGCUAAUGUCUUUAAUAUUGCUGAAAAAGUAAAGCGUUCCAAGAGCAUGAUUGGAUGGGAGUUCAAAGGAAUGACUUUUUUUUUUGGUCCCUUUACUAUAAGGUAACCAUAUUCUUUCAUCUGCAAUCAAAUCUUAAGACUAAGGAUGUUGUAUGAAAUAAAAUCAUUACAGGAAGUAUGACGGUAUCAGGGACUUUUUACAAAAACAAACUUCCAGAUCACAAGAGGAAGCUGUGUUUGUGUGCUGACAGAAAGUAUUUAACAGCAGUCAGGAGAGGAAGGCAGGAUGACAGCCAACUUGGAUCUAUUUUUGAAGAAUUAUUUCUGUAGAGUGUCAUGGAAUUGUAAGUUACAAAAAGAAUGCUUUGGUAAACAGUCCUCUCCAUUCCAAAAGGACUCACUCCAAAAUACCACUUAAUGAAAUUCACAGGAAUGUUAUGAAGAUGGGAAUCCCAAAUGACAGGCAGACUUUACAAGCGAACAGUCCUACUUUUUGUAAAUCCUGGCAGUGUGCAUUUACCAAAAUCUCCGUCACACCACACUCUCUUGCUAUAUAUAGCACUCCAUCUGAUCUGAUCACUAUACCAUGCGGCAAGAUGCAUGUCCUUGCUUUCUUCUGAUUUUUAACUAGUCUUAAAUUUGUCUUAGCGUAACAGUGACUCCUGCUUCUCAAGAUUGAGCUACUAUUCGGUACAUUUUAGAAAUCUCAAACUAAUGUGUGUGUACUCAGUCACUACUGAAUCCAAUGACCAAUCAGCUUUAAAUAGGUCUUUUUACGUUCUAUGAAUUCAUCCCUCUAUUUAUCAAACCAUUUCUUGUUUUUAUAUGUAACUCUAUCACCCUUCUUUUGUUAUAUAUAUAUGGAAUCACUCUCAUCUGUAAAAUAAUAGAAAAUACAAUAAAGCUAAUUUUUAA